AAAAAUUGUUGCACGUUCUGGCCAUGUUUCGGUUGUGUUCUCAUUGUUUUUGGUGGCAAUAAUUUUUGCACCAGAACGUGCAACACGGCGUAUGUGUGUUGCAGGCAAGUGAAAACUCUGAAUGCCCCACUCGAUCAAUCAGAAUCAGAAUAAGAAUCGAGCUCUAUAAACUACUUGUCAUCUCAAUCGCCGAUGGCCCAUCAAUACCAGUUCAAUUAUCGCCAGCCACUGGCAGCGAAAAUAACAAAAACCAACAUGAACCGCCGCUGGAAAAUCAGUUCAUUUAGCCAAACGAUCGUGUAUCCAUCAACGCGGCUUUAAACCUGGCCAAGAAGUGCCAGAAAAAAAUCAGAAAGCAGAGAGGCAGAGGCAGAAAGCAUAAAACAGAAGCAGAAACACACAGCUGACUGAAAAUGCACAGUGUUUAUUUAAUAUAAAUAUAAAAGAAUCGCCUUGUACUCGCCAUAAAGCGCCAAAAGUGAAACACAAAACAGAAGCCCCAAGAAAACACACCUAAAAGA
RNAcentral lists this small RNA (521 nucleotides) under Drosophila ananassae. RNAcentral describes it as "GF27519". The record is from RNAcentral. Lineage: Eukaryota; Metazoa; Arthropoda; Insecta; Diptera; Drosophilidae.